CUUUUUUUUUUUUUUUUUUUUUUUGAGACAGAGUCUCGCUCUGUCGCCGCCAGGCUGGAAUGAGGGAGUGAGUGCAGCGGCGCGAUGUCAGCUCACUACAACCUCCGGCUCCUGGGUUCAAGGGACUCUUCUGCCUCAGCUUCCCUAGUAGCUGGGACUACAGGGGCACACCACUACAUCCGGCUAAUUUUUGUAUUUUUAGUAGAGACGGGGUUACACAGUGUUGGCCAGGAUGGUCUCGAUCUCCUGACCUCAUGAUCCACCCGCCUUGGCCUCCCAAAGUGCUGGGACUACAGGCGUGAGCCACCGUGCCUGGCCUGUGUUCGUCUUUAACAUUGUUUACGUUGAAGAUGCAUUGGUUUUUGCUUAUUCUUAAAGAAAAGAUUCAGGAUUGUGAAUUUGUGACUGCAGCUUUAGGCGUAUCCCAAGGUUUUCAGUACUAGUUUAGUUUUUGUUGUUUUUGUUUCUAAUUAUCCUUUUGGCAUUUCCUUAUCAAUAUAAGACUUUUUAAAAUUCAAGUGUUUUGAUUCAUUUUAUCCAAUUUUUGGUUACUAAUUUCUUGGUUUCUUUGUGUUGUGGUCACAUCAUGUGGCUUUUACACACAUUUUCUCUGUUUUGGGGAUUUGCUUACUUUUUUUUGUAGUCGUGCAAGAUUUUUUGUGAAAAGAAAAACUGUAUCAAGUUCAUCACCUUUAUCAAUUUGACCUGUGCCGUGAACUUCUUUAGAUUCAUUUGAUUCAAAUGGAUCUAAGUAUUUUAAACAUUUAGAAUACUAAUUUAAGCAAGGCUUGAAAAUUAAAUGGAGUAAAAGCAAUAAAAAAAAUCAAUAUUAGCCUGGGCAUUGGUGGCUCAUGCCAGUAAUGCCAGUACUUUGGGAUGCCAAAGCAGGAAGAUCUCUUGAGCUUAGGAGAUUGAGAUCAGGUUGGGCAAAAACAUGAAAAGACUAAAUCACAUCUCUAGCAGGAAAAAAAAAAAUCCAGAUAUGAUAGCUCAUGACUAUAGUCACAGCUACCCCAGAGGCUGAGGUAGAAGGCCAAGAAGUUUGAGGCUGUGGUGAUGGUGAGCUAUGGAGGUACCACUGUGCUCCAACCUGUGUGACAGAGUGAGACUCUCUUUUCUUUCAAAAAAAAGGAAGAAAGGAAAAUCAAUGUUAGUCUGUCAAUACAUUUUCUUAUUGUUUUAAAACUGUAUUUGGAAAGUUUCAAAAUGCAUUUGGACUGCAUUGUUCUAAAGGCAAGUUAGAAAUCCAAAUAUCUUUUGCACAGUUAUUUCACCAUUAAUUCUUACUAGUUUUGGUUGUAUGAUGGGAGAUAGACGUAUAAAAAUAACUUAUUUAAAAUGUCAGUGGAUUUUUUUGUAAUGGACAUUCCUGGAUGAUAGGUGAAAUUUGAACAUGAACUGUUUGUUAGAUAAUAGUAUUGUCUCAAUGGUAAAUAUUCUGAAUACAAUUGUUUUGUGAUUGUGCAAAUGUUUUCUUUCUUAGAAGACAAGUAUUGAUGUGUUAGGUAACAAGCUUGUGAUGUAGUAAUGACCUGUCAAAAUGUUCAGGAAGGAAAAUAAUACAUAAGUAUAUAUAAAAA
This 1580-nucleotide long non-coding RNA is filed under the name Homo sapiens (human). RNAcentral's name for it is "novel transcript, sense intronic to MFN1". The record is from RNAcentral. Lineage: Eukaryota; Metazoa; Chordata; Mammalia; Primates; Hominidae.